CUUCAAGGUACAUACCUGAUGAGUUGCUUUCCAUCUACUACUUAAAGGAAUUCAGCGAGGCCUUACUGACCAGGUGAUGACUACUCGGAGACCACUUGAACCAGAAUACUUCUGCAGUCCCAAUUUGACCAGUACAUUUAUAUUUCUUUGUCUGGAGAUGAUACAGGGGAGACUAAGAGAGCUGGGGAACUUACUGGGCUACCUAGAG
Long non-coding RNA from Chinchilla lanigera (long-tailed chinchilla), 208 nucleotides. RefSeq lists it as uncharacterized. Lineage: Eukaryota; Metazoa; Chordata; Mammalia; Rodentia; Chinchillidae. The transcript has 3 exons. The record is from RefSeq and is a predicted model, not a curated record.